Long non-coding RNA from Mastomys coucha (southern multimammate mouse), 479 nucleotides. RefSeq lists it as uncharacterized. NCBI's taxonomy places the organism in Eukaryota, Metazoa, Chordata, Mammalia, Rodentia, Muridae. The transcript is spliced from 3 exons. The record is from RefSeq and is a predicted model, not a curated record.
AGAUCAUAAACAAGAUGUGUACAAGACUAGGCCCAUCAUGGAUUGGGAGCAAGAGGGAUUACAAGACCUCCACUCCCUAAGGAACCUCAGUCUGGUACUGGCUGCUAGGAGCCCAGAAUCAUGUUCACUUGCACAGCUACUGAUCUUCUGGCAUGGCAUGUCAAGCAGAGCACUGCAGGUUUAGGUGCAAGCAUCUUGAAGGGCAUGAUUAGGAGGCAGAAUGGAGUUGAGGAAGGAUUCUAGAGUUGGAUACUUCCACUCCUACUACCACUCUGUUCUUUACGAGCUGUGAGACCCUGGAAAAGUUACCCAACCUCAGUUUUCUCUCUGGCAGUUAAAAAAAGUUUCGGUUACACAUGUGUUCCCAUGUACACCAAGAGAAAGACUGGUCUCCGCCAUCCUUGCUUUCUGCUGUCACCCACAUUCCUCCCAACCUUUUCUCUCAGUCAGCAGCGGGUCCAGUGAUCAGGAAGGAUUCA